AAUCAACGCUGGCGGCGUGCCUCAGACAUGCAAGUCGAACGCGAAAGUUUCCUUCGGGAGACAAGUAGAGUGGCGCACGGGUGAGUAACACGUAGGUAAUCUACCUUUGGAUGGGGAAUAACAACCGGAAACGGUUGCUAAUACCGCAUAAUGCAGCGGCACCUAAUGGUGACAGUUGUUAAAGCGGGGGAGUCGAAAGACCUCGCGUCUGAAGAGGAGCCUGCGGCGGAUUAGCAGUUGGUAAGGUAAUGGCUUACCAAGGCUACGAUCCGUAACCGGCCUGAGAGGGCGGUCGGUCACACUGACACUGACAUACGGGUCAGACUCCUA
Molecule: ribosomal RNA, 330 nt
Filed under: uncultured bacterium
Lineage: Bacteria
Description: bacterial SSU rRNA
Rfam family: Bacterial small subunit ribosomal RNA
Source: RNAcentral